RNAcentral lists this long non-coding RNA (928 nucleotides) under Prunus dulcis (almond). RNAcentral's name for it is "sRNA ncRNA". The record is from RNAcentral. Lineage: Eukaryota; Viridiplantae; Streptophyta; Magnoliopsida; Rosales; Rosaceae.
UUUCAUCAGACAUUUUUCUCUCGCCCUAGCUUUUCUCUCUGCAACAGAAGAUGAAUAGCUUCCUUCCUCCAUCUGUGAAGGUAUGAUCCCUAUUUUUUCUUCAAUCAAUACCUCGUUGUGUUUUCUUUUUCCAUGAUUUUUCUUAAUCGUGUUUUUCUUGUUAUUAGGGUAUAGUUUAGGGUUAGAGUCUAUGCUUGUUAUUAGGGUUUUCGUUAAACAUAAUUUUAUUUCAUGUUGUUGAAGGAAAAGAUGUUAUGAAUUUGGCUUUUUAUUUCAUGUUGGUACAAAUCAAGUAUCAGAACAUCUCUUGAAAUUGGAUCACCAUUAGAUACAUUGACAACAAUGCUACUAUAUAAAAUAAUUUUACUUUGUAUACUUUCCAUCUAUUUUUUUUAUUUAUAAUUUGUUAUGUGUAUUAUUAACAGAGACAUUGAUAGGGAGGAGUUUAAUAAAGUCAUGGCUUUGAUCAGAUCUCAAAGCAAACAAAACAAGGAUGGCCACAGGCUCAAAGUUUCUGUAGAAGAUGGAGGCCUACUUGAGCACUUCUUUGGCAAAGAUGGCAAAAAAAGUCUCACACAUGAAACAUUUGAGUUUUUUUCCUCAGGCAAUCAGCUCAUCUUUCCCCAUUUUUUUUCCUUCUAUCUAUUUCUGAAUUUGAAGUCUAGAACAAAAGCCAUACAAAUAUUAAGAAAGUUUAUUAAAAAAUUAUAUAGAAGUCUUCUGAAAGUCUAUCAAGUUCUAUACAAAUUCUAAAUUUCCAUCAAGUUCUAUGAAAGGUGGCACUUAAACAAAAUCUUUUUAAAUGCUCUAGAAUCAUAAUUGAAUACAACCCCUAUUUUAUUCUUCUUUCAAUCAACUCACUUGUGAUGAAGUCCCUCCAUUGAUGAAGUGAAACUUGAUUAGCAGCUACUAAAUUUCUUCUCCAAAC